Molecule: transfer RNA, 74 nt
Filed under: Illex argentinus (Argentinian squid)
Lineage: Eukaryota; Metazoa; Mollusca; Cephalopoda; Oegopsida; Ommastrephidae
Description: tRNA-Lys
Rfam family: tRNA
About the family: Transfer RNA (tRNA) molecules are approximately 80 nucleotides in length.
Source: RNAcentral
UAUUAAGUGGCCGAAUUUAUAAGCACUAGACUUUUAAUCUAGAUAAUGAUUACACAAUUAAUCCUUAAUAAUAA